UCAGGUUUCACAUCCGACUUGUCAGUUACGUCACGUCACGUCACGGUGCGUCACGGCGCACGGCACGUACAGAUACAAUGCGGUUGCCGAACCCAUAAAUCGCUCAAACGCCGCUCCUGCAAUGGACGCCGGUUACGUGGACGAAAUGCAAAACCAAUUGCACCCGAAUUCUACCGCCUGUACCUUUCGACCACCCUCCGCGUCCUACCUGCAUGAUUUCUCUUGACAGCAUUCACGUGUCUUGUUGGACGAAUUCUGCCGGAACUUAUUAUGAUGAGACGUUUUCUCAGCGUUUUCGAGGUACAUGAUAUUCUUCAAAGAAAAGAGUCUACGUUAAAGCAAUUCUUAUUAAGGUACAUGAUAUUCUUCAAAGAAGAUUCUACAUUAAAGCAAUUCUUAUUAAGGUACAUGAUCUUCUUCAAAGAAAAGAGUCUAUGUUAAAGCAAUUCUUAUUGAGGUACAUGAUAUUCUUCAAAGAAAAUUCUACAUUAAAGCAAUUCUUUUUAAGCUACAUGAUAUAUUCAAAGAAAAGAGUCUACUUUAAAGCAAUAAGAAUCAUGUACCUUGCAUAUUAUGAAAUCCUUUAAAUUCUUACAAAAUUAAGGAAAUUCCGACAGAACAGAAAUUGAUAUUAUUAUAGAUAAGUGUAAUUAUAAAGAGACAUAAUUAUAUGCCUGUUAAAGUAAUAAUGAAAGAGUCAUCAUUAUUAUUUUAUCUGUUAUUCGAUCAAAAAUUGUUCUUUCCUAG
Molecule: unclassified non-coding RNA, 747 nt
Filed under: Bombus terrestris (buff-tailed bumblebee)
Lineage: Eukaryota; Metazoa; Arthropoda; Insecta; Hymenoptera; Apidae
Description: misc RNA ENSBTSG00005029613.1
Source: RNAcentral